CCUACGGGAGGCAGCAGUGAGGAAUAUUGGUCAAUGGACGAGAGUCUGAACCAGCCAAGUAGCGUGAAGGAUGACUGCCCUAUGGGUUGUAAACUUCUUUUAUAUGGGAAUAAAGUGUUCCAUGUGUGGUAUUUUGUAUGUACCAUAUGAAUAAGGAUCGGCUAACUCCGUGCCAGCAGCCGCGGUAAUACGGAGGAUCCGAGCGUUAUCCGGAUUUAUUGGGUUUAAAGGGAGCGUAGGUGGAUUGUUAAGUCAGUUGUGAAAGUUUGCGGCUCAACCGUAAAAUUGCAGUUGAAACUGGCAGUCUUGAGUACAGUAGAGGUGGGCGGAAUUCGUGGUGUAGCGGUGAAAUGCUUAGAUAUCACGAAGAACUCCGAUUGCGAAGGCAGCUCACUGGACUGCAACUGACACUGAGGCUCGAAAGUGUGGGUAUCAAACAGGAUUAGAUACCCGUGUAGUC
RNAcentral lists this ribosomal RNA (460 nucleotides) under uncultured bacterium. RNAcentral describes it as "partial 16S ribosomal RNA". It matches the Rfam family "Bacterial small subunit ribosomal RNA", at positions 338 to 795 of the family's 1533-position model. The record is from RNAcentral.